UGGUCCGGGAUGCGGGGCACUGUUGUGGCAACUCGCGAAUAUUGCACUCGUCCCGGCCAGC
Molecule: microRNA precursor, 61 nt
Filed under: Petromyzon marinus (sea lamprey)
Lineage: Eukaryota; Metazoa; Chordata; Hyperoartia; Petromyzontiformes; Petromyzontidae
Description: Pma-Mir-92-P1o1_pre stem-loop
Source: RNAcentral